This 216-nucleotide long non-coding RNA is filed under the name Phoenix dactylifera (date palm). RNAcentral describes it as "long non-coding RNA (PDAC_LNC000059)". Lineage: Eukaryota; Viridiplantae; Streptophyta; Magnoliopsida; Arecales; Arecaceae. The record is from RNAcentral.
UUUCUUCCAGACUUCCACAGCAAUCCUUUUCUCAUUAAAUUUUCUUUCCUCGUUCUCAUAUCAAAGAGAUCGGUCUAAGGGCAUGGCUCAAGGUCGUUGAAGGCAGACCGUGCUGCCUUCAUUUCUCGUGUUCAAAGAGUAGGUGUUGGAGGCUGGUCCAAGAAAUCAACUCAUGGAAACGUGCGGAGGAGUUCAUGGAAAUUGGGAAGAUGCCCA